This 70-nucleotide transfer RNA is filed under the name Plectroglyphidodon fasciolatus (Pacific gregory). RNAcentral describes it as "tRNA-Glu". It matches the Rfam family "tRNA". From Rfam's summary of the family: Transfer RNA (tRNA) molecules are approximately 80 nucleotides in length. Their secondary structure includes four short double-helical elements and three loops (D, anti-codon, and T loops). Further hydrogen bonds mediate the characteristic L-shaped molecular structure. tRNAs have two regions of fundamental functional importance: the anti-codon, which is responsible for specific mRNA codon recognition, and the 3' end, to which the tRNAs corresponding amino acid is attached (by aminoacyl-tRNA synthetases). tRNAs cope with the degeneracy of the genetic code in two manners: having more than one tRNA (with a specific anti-codon) for a particular amino acid; and 'wobble' base-pairing, i.e. permitting non-standard base-pairing at the 3rd anti-codon position. Lineage: Eukaryota; Metazoa; Chordata; Actinopteri; Pomacentridae. The record is from RNAcentral.
GUUUUUAUAGUUGAAUAGACAACGGUGAUUUUUCAAGUCAUUAGUCCUGGUUAGAACCCUGGUAGAAACC